This 254-nucleotide ribosomal RNA is filed under the name uncultured bacterium. RNAcentral describes it as "partial 16S ribosomal RNA". It matches the Rfam family "Bacterial small subunit ribosomal RNA", at positions 524 to 776 of the family's 1533-position model. The record is from RNAcentral.
GACGGAGGAUGCAAGUGUUAUCCGGAAUCACUGGGCGUAAAGCGUCUGUAGGUUGUUUAAAAAGUCUGCAGUUAAAGGUUGAAGCUUAACUUCAAAAAUGCCGUAGAAACUUUUAAACUAAGAGGAUGGUAGGGGUAGAGGGAAUUUCCAGUGGAGCGGUGAAAUGUGUAGAUAUUGGAAAGACCACCGAUGGCGAAGGCACUCUACUGGGCCAUGACUGACACUGAGAGACGAAAGCUAGGGGAGCAAAUGGG